Molecule: ribosomal RNA, 573 nt
Filed under: uncultured bacterium
Lineage: Bacteria
Description: partial 16S ribosomal RNA
Rfam family: Bacterial small subunit ribosomal RNA
Source: RNAcentral
UGGGGAAUUUUGGACAAUGGGCGAAAGCCUGAUCCAGCAAUGCCGCGUGUGUGAAGAAGGCCUUCGGGUUGUAAAGCACUUUUGUCCGGAAAGAAAUCCUUGGCUCUAAUACAGUCGGGGGAUGACGGUACCGGAAGAAUAAGCACCGGCUAACUACGUGCCAGCAGCCGCGGUAAUACGUAGGGUGCAAGCGUUAAUCGGAAUUACUGGGCGUAAAGCGUGCGCAGGCGGUUUGCUAAGACCGAUGUGAAUCCCCGGGCUCAACCUGGGAACUGCAUUGGUGACUGGCAGACUAGAGUAUGGCAGAGGGGGGUAGAAUUCCACGUGUAGCAGUGAAAUGCGUAGAGAUGUGGAGGAAUACCGAUGGCGAAGGCAGCCCCCUGGGCCAAUACUGACGCUCAUGCACGAAAGCGUGGGGGAGCAAACAGGAUUAGAUACCCUGGUAGUCCACGCCCUAAACGAUGUCAACUAGUUGUUGGGGAUUCAUUUCCUUAGUAACGUAGCUAACGCGUGAAGUUGACCGCCUGGGGGAGUACGGUCGCAAGAUUAAAACUCAAAUGAAUUGACGGGGUC